UGCCAGCAGCCGCGGUAAUACGGAGGGGGUUAGCGUUGUUCGGAAUUACUGGGCGUAAAGCGCGCGUAGGCGGUUAGUCUAGUCAGGCGUGAAAUCCCGGGGCUCAACCCCGGAACUGUGCUUGAUACUGGCUUACUAGAGGUCUGGAGAGGGUAGCGGAAUUCCCAGUGUAGAGGUGAAAUUCGUAGAUAUUGGGAAGAACACCAGCGGCGAAGGCGGCUACCUGGACAGAUACUGACGCUGAGGUGCGAAAGCGUGGGGAGCAAACAGGAUUAGAUA
Molecule: ribosomal RNA, 279 nt
Filed under: uncultured bacterium
Lineage: Bacteria
Description: partial 16S ribosomal RNA
Rfam family: Bacterial small subunit ribosomal RNA
Source: RNAcentral